Molecule: long non-coding RNA, 897 nt
Organism: Paramacrobiotus metropolitanus
Lineage: Eukaryota; Metazoa; Tardigrada; Eutardigrada; Parachela; Macrobiotidae
Exons: 3
Source: RefSeq, a predicted model, not a curated record
ACUACUUGGGAGUCUGAAAGAGAUUUAUGCUUGUCCCCUUUGAGUUUUUAGAAAAGUCUAAAAAAUGAGAUCUCGCGCAAAAUUUGAUUCGACGCUUCUUGUUUCCCGGAUAUGUAGCUGGAGUCGGUUUUACUGCUGUUUUUAAUAAAUAUUUUGGCGUUGUUUGCGGGAAUACGAUCAUAUGCACAUAAAUCCUUCAACAAUCUGAAACUCGGCUCAGCCUUUUCGUGGGUUUUCUUGGUCGUAUCUUGUUGUACAGUGCACAGACAGUAACAGUACAUCCUGUCGGAGUUAAUUAUACGUUGUCGUCUGGGUUCGCCAUCCUGCAGAUUCUUGGAUCGAAUCCAAAGUUAACGAUGUUUCGCGGGCUGAUAAUGUUUUCUUUGGGCCUGUAUGCUGGUAUCUACGUAUCGCAGAAUUAUGAGGUGCCAAGGCUGGAUCAUCCCAGCGAAAUCUGGGCCAAAGUAACGGAUUUUAUGGAAUCCCAUAAAAAAUCCGACGUUCCACCAAGAUAGCUACGCGCUUAUUCCUUGAACGGAAAUUGGUGAUACCCUGGUAGAAUUGUGGCGUGAAUCCGAUUACUGUUGAAAAAACACAAGCUGUACAUUUCGUUUGCCAGUUUUGAUUGAAAACUGUCCCGAGAUGGGUCGAACUUUGUUGUAACUAAAGAGCGUCUGCAGUUUGCACAUAUUUAUUUUGUAAGAGCGUCUGCAGUUUGCACAUAUUUUGUGAGUUCGUUUUUUUGGCUUCUACAUGCUGUGAUCUAGCAAUUUGCCCCUAGUUCUGUGUUAAAAAUUGGCUGAAAAGUUAAACUUAUGUUAAUUGUGUUUUACCUACACAUUGUGUGAAUGUUGACAAUGUUUUCGACGAAAUGGCAGAAUAAUAAUUAAUUCAUUG